GAUGAACGCUGGCGGCGUGCCUAAUACAUGCAAGUCGAGCGAACAGACGAGGAGCUUGCUCCUCUGACGUUAGCGGCGGACGGGUGAGUAACACGUGGAUAACCUACCUAUAAGACUGGGAUAACUUCGGGAAACCGGAGCUAAUACCGGAUAAUAUAUUGAACCGCAUGGUUCAAUAGUGAAAGACGGUUUUGCUGUCACUUAUAAAUGGAUCCGCGCCGCAUUAGCUAGUUGGUAAGGUAACGGCUUACCAAGGCAACGAUGCGUAGCCGACCUGAGAGGGUGAUCGGCCACACUGGAACUGAGACACGGUCCAGACUCCUACGGGAGGCAGCAGUAGGGAAUCUUCCGCAAUGGGCGAAAGCUUGACGGAGCAACGCCGCGUGAGUGAUGAAGGUCUUCGGAUCGUAAAACUCUGUUAUUAGGGAAGAACAAAUGUGCAAGUAACUAUGCACGUCUUGACGGUACCUAAUCAGAAAGCCACGGCUAACUACGUG
This 497-nucleotide ribosomal RNA is filed under the name uncultured bacterium. Its description in RNAcentral is "partial 16S ribosomal RNA". It matches the Rfam family "Bacterial small subunit ribosomal RNA", at positions 28 to 507 of the family's 1533-position model. The record is from RNAcentral.